RNAcentral lists this ribosomal RNA (532 nucleotides) under uncultured bacterium. Its description in RNAcentral is "bacterial SSU rRNA". It matches the Rfam family "Bacterial small subunit ribosomal RNA", at positions 1 to 513 of the family's 1533-position model. The record is from RNAcentral.
UAGAGUUUGAUCAUGGCUCAGAACGAACGCUGGCGGCGUACUUAACACAUGCAAGUCGAACGCGAAAAUUUCCUUCGGGAUUUGAGUAGAGUGGCGCACGGGUGAGUAACGCGUAAAUAAUCUACCCUUAUAUCUGGGAUAACAUCGGGAAACUGGUGCUAAUACCGGAUACACUUAAAGAGACGCGAGUUUUUUUAAGGAAAGGAGACCUCUUCGUGAAAGUUUCUGUAUAAGGAUGAGUUUGCGUACCAUUAGCUAGUAGGUGGGGUAAAGGCCUACCUAGGCGACGAUGGUUAGCGGGUCUGAGAGGAUGAUCCGCCACACUGGAACUGGAACACGGACCAGACUCCUACGGGAGGCAGCAGUGAGGAAUAUUGCGCAAUGGGGGAAACCCUGACGCAGUGACGCCGCGUGAGUGAAGAAGGCCUUCGGGUCGUAAAGCUCUGUCAGUGGGGAAGAAGUGCUAUAUGGUUAAUACCCAUGUAGUUUGACGGUACCUACAAAGGAAGCACCGGCUAAAUCCGUGCCAGCA